RNAcentral lists this unclassified non-coding RNA (202 nucleotides) under uncultured Cyphellophora. RNAcentral's name for it is "sequence contains ITS1". Lineage: Eukaryota; Fungi; Ascomycota; Eurotiomycetes; Chaetothyriales; Herpotrichiellaceae. The record is from RNAcentral.
CCGAGUUAGGGUGCUUUUCGCGCCCGACCUCCAACCCUUUGUCUACCUGACCAGAUGUUGCUUCGGCAGGCCCGCCGCCUCCCCUUAACCUGGGGGGUAGCCGCCGGGGGUCCCUUACCGGUCCCGGGCCCGCGUCUGUCGAUGGCCCUCUUAUAAACUCUUGCUUAAACGUGUCGUCUGAGUAAAACAAACAAAUAAAAUA